ACGCUGGCGGCGUGCCUAAUACAUGCAAGUCGAGCGGACUGGAGGGAGCUUGCUCCCAAAGGUCAGCGGCGGACGGGUGAGUAACACGUGGGUAACCUGCCUGACAGACUGGGAUAACGCUUGGAAACGAGUGCUAAUACCGGAUAGGCUUUUGGAUCGCAUGAUUCGAAAGGGAAAGAGGCUAUCGCCUCACUGUUAGAUGGACCCGCGGCGCAUUAGCUAGUUGGUGAGGUAACGGCUCACCAAGGCGACGAUGCGUAGCCGACCUGAGAGGGUGACCGGCCACACUGGGACUGAGACACGGCCCAGGCUCCUACGGGAGGCAGCAGUAGGGAAUCUUCCACAAUGGGCGCAAGCCUGAUGGAGCAACGCCGCGUGAGUGAUGAAGGCCUUCGGGUUGUAAAACUCUGUCUUCUGUGACGAACAAGUGCGUGAGUGGAAAACUCGCACCCUGACGGUAACAGAGGAGGAAGCCACGGCUAACUACGUGCCAGCAGCCGCGGUAAUACGUAGGUGGCAAGCGUUGUCCGGAAUCACUGGGCGUAAAGCGCGCGCAGGCGGCGAUCUACGUCUGGGGUGAAAGCCCGGAGCUCAACUCCGGGACUG
RNAcentral lists this ribosomal RNA (606 nucleotides) under uncultured earthworm cast bacterium. Its description in RNAcentral is "bacterial SSU rRNA". It matches the Rfam family "Bacterial small subunit ribosomal RNA", at positions 33 to 623 of the family's 1533-position model. The record is from RNAcentral.